AUUGAACGCUGGCGGCAGGCUUAACACAUGCAAGUCGAGCGGAGAUGAGGUGCUUGCACCUUAUCUUAGCGGCGGACGGGUGAGUAAUGCUUAGGAAUCUGCCUAUUAGUGGGGGACAACAUUCCGAAAGGAAUGCUAAUACCGCAUACGUCCUACGGGAGAAAGCAGGGGAUCUUCGGACCUUGCGCUAAUAGAUGGGCCUAAGUCGGAUUAGCUAGUUGGUGGGGUAAAGGCCUACCAAGGCGACGAUCUGUAGCGGGUCUGAGAGGAUGAUCAGCAACACUGGGACUGAGACACGGCCCAGACUCCUACGGGAGGCAGCAGUGGGGAAUAUUGGACAAUGGGGGGAACCCUGAUCCAGCCAUGCCGCGUGUGUGAAGAAGGCCUUAUGGUUGUAAAGCACUUUAAGCGAGGAGGAGGCUACUGAGACUAAUACUCUUGGAUAGUGGACGUUACUCGCAGAAUAAGCACCGGCUAACUCUGUGCCAGCAGCCGCGGUAA
This 501-nucleotide ribosomal RNA is filed under the name uncultured bacterium. Its description in RNAcentral is "partial 16S ribosomal RNA". It matches the Rfam family "Bacterial small subunit ribosomal RNA", at positions 30 to 523 of the family's 1533-position model. The record is from RNAcentral.